AGAGUUUGAUUAUGGCUCAGAAGCAUGCAGUGCAGCGUGCUUACACUGCAAGUCGUACGGUGAAGCCGAGCUUGCUGGGUGGAUCAGUGGCGAACGGGUGAGUAACACGUGAGCAACCUGCCCUCCACUUCGGGAUAAGCCUUGGAAACGGGGUCUAAUACCGGAUAUGAGCGCUCAUCGCAUGGUGGGUGUUGGAAAGUUUUUCCGUGGGGGAUGGGCUCGCGGCCUAUCUGCUUGUUGGUGGGGUGAUGGCCUACCAAGGCUUCUACGGGGAGCCGGGCUGAAAGGGCGACCGGCCACGCAGGGACUGACACACGGUCCACACUCCUACGGGAGGCAGCACUAGGGAAUAUUGCACAAUGGGCGCAGAGCUCUGAUGCAGCGACGCCACGUGAGGGAUGACGGCCUUCCGGUUGUAAACCUCUUUCACCACGGAAGAAACUCUUGUGACGGUACCUGCAGAAUAAUCGCCGGCUACCUACGUGCCAACAGCCGCGGUAAUACUUAGGGCGUCUUCGUUGUCCGGAAUUAUUGGGCGUACAGAGCUCGUAGGCGGUCUGUCGCGUCUGGUGUGAAACCCGACGCUCACCUCGGCUUGCCUCGCGUACGGCCAACUAUGUGCGGAGGGGAUACUGGCUUCUGGUGUUCUGUGGAAUGCACAGAUUCACGACUAACACUAUGGCAAGGCAGUCUCUGACCGGCCUGAGCUGAGAGCGAACCAUGGGGAGCGAAUAGAUUCAUACCCUGGAGUCCUGCCUAACAUGGGACACGGUGGCCUCGUCCCGAGUACGUACGCAGCUACCAUAGUGCCCCCUGGGAGUACGUCCAAGGUAUAUCAAUGAUUGCGGGG
This 850-nucleotide ribosomal RNA is filed under the name uncultured bacterium. Its description in RNAcentral is "bacterial SSU rRNA". It matches the Rfam family "Bacterial small subunit ribosomal RNA", at positions 9 to 873 of the family's 1533-position model. The record is from RNAcentral.